UACGUAGGGUGCAAGCGUUGUCCGGAAUUAUUGGGCGUAAAGAGCUUGUAGGCGGUCUGUCGCGUCUGCUGUGAAAAUCCGGGGCUCAACCCGGACUUGCAGUGGGUACGGGCAGACUAGAGUGUGGUAGGGGAGACUGGAAUUCCUGGUGUAGCGGUGAAAUGCGCAGAUAUCAGGAGGAACACCGAUGGCGAAGGCAGGUCUCUGGGCCACUACUGACGUGAGAAGCGAAAGCAUGGGGAGCGAACAGG
This 251-nucleotide ribosomal RNA is filed under the name uncultured bacterium. RNAcentral's name for it is "partial 16S ribosomal RNA". It matches the Rfam family "Bacterial small subunit ribosomal RNA", at positions 524 to 776 of the family's 1533-position model. The record is from RNAcentral.